UACGAAGGGGGCUAGCGUUGUUCGGAUUCAUUGGGCGUAAAGGGUGUGUAGGUGGCGCCGUAAGUCGGGUGUGAAAUUUCGGAGCUUAACUCCGAAACUGCAUUCGAUACUGCGGUGCUUGAGGACUGGAGAGGAGACUGGAAUUCAUGGUGUAGCAGUGAAAUGCGUAGAGAUCAUGAGGAAGACCAGUGGCGAAGGCGGGUCUCUGGACAGUUCCUGACACUGAGACACGAAGGCCAGGGGAGCAAACGGG
Molecule: ribosomal RNA, 253 nt
Filed under: uncultured bacterium
Lineage: Bacteria
Description: partial 16S ribosomal RNA
Rfam family: Bacterial small subunit ribosomal RNA
Source: RNAcentral